ACCACCUAGGGAUUUUGUUAAACUGCAGAUUCUGAUUCAGCAGAUCUGGGAUGGGCCCAGAACUUCUGCAGUUCUAACAAGUGCUUAAGUGAUGCCCA
This 98-nucleotide microRNA precursor is filed under the name Camelus bactrianus (Bactrian camel). Its description in RNAcentral is "mir-544 microRNA precursor family". It matches the Rfam family "mir-544 microRNA precursor family". RNAcentral also lists the same sequence under 2 other names. Lineage: Eukaryota; Metazoa; Chordata; Mammalia; Artiodactyla; Camelidae. The record is from Rfam by way of RNAcentral.